GAUGAACGCUGGCGGCGUGCCUAACACAUGCAAGUCGAGCGAACAGACGCGGAGCUUGCUCCUCUGACGUUAGCGGCGGACGGGUGAGUAACACGUGGAUAACCUACCUAUAAGACUGGGAUAACUUCGGGAAACCGGAGCUAAUACCGGAUAAUAUAUUGAACCGCAUGGUUCAAUAGUGAAAGACGGUUUUGCUGUCACUUAUAGAUGGAUCCGCGCCGCAUUAGCUAGUUGGUAAGGUAACGGCUUACCAAGGCAACGAUGCGUAGCCGACCUGAGAGGGUGAUCGGCCACACUGGAACUGAGACACGGUCCAGACUCCUACGGGAGGCAGCAGUAGGGAAUCUUCCGCAAUGGGCGAAAGCCUGACGGAGCAACGCCGCGUGAGUGAUGAAGGUCUUCGGAUCGUAAACCUCUGUUAUUAGGGAAGAACCGAUGUGUAAGUAACUAUGCACGUCUUGACGGUACCUAAUCAGAAAGCCCCGGCUAACUACGUG
Molecule: ribosomal RNA, 497 nt
Filed under: uncultured bacterium
Lineage: Bacteria
Description: partial 16S ribosomal RNA
Rfam family: Bacterial small subunit ribosomal RNA
Source: RNAcentral